Long non-coding RNA from Peromyscus leucopus (white-footed mouse), 1930 nucleotides. RefSeq lists it as uncharacterized. The transcript has 5 exons. NCBI's taxonomy places the organism in Eukaryota, Metazoa, Chordata, Mammalia, Rodentia, Cricetidae. The record is from RefSeq and is a predicted model, not a curated record.
CUUCCAGUCUGAGGAAACAGGACCAGCUGAGGAACUGGUGAGGAAUUUUAUCUCAGUAACCCCUUCACUGACCUGUCCUUGAGGAUGGAGAUGAAACAAGAUUCUACCAUUGCACUGUAACCGUGGCUCUGCCUCAAAAUAAAUCACCAGCAACAAUGAAGCAUCCUUUGUGCUUAAUCUAUUCAUUCAAAAAGAUGAGUGGGUUCAUAAGCAAAAAGUUAGCAGUCAACCCUCAACAUCUACUUACUGCUGAAGAAAUGUGGAACAUGCUAAACCCUGGCGUCAGGCUGAUGAAUUCUCAACACAAAUCAUCCAGGCAGGCCAGUUCCCAUCGCCAGUCCCAUGUCCUUAAUUACUAAAUCCUGGUCUUCUAUGCUGAAAAUUGAAACAGGAAGACAGAUGAGGAAUGUGCAGGCUCAGUUUCCAAGGUCUUGCUCCUGUGUUUCUGAAGCCCAAGUGGAUCCUGACCUUCUGCUACAGGGUGGAGGACUGAUGUUGUCAUUCAGUGGCCAGAAGCUUCAUCUGUUUUUGAUCAUAGUGCCACCUAGAUCACUGUUGUAUAAUCUCAGAUUUCUUAAGGGAUCAAGUUUUUGUUAUAGUUUUUGUGUCAAUUUUUUUUUUGGCAGUGGCCAAGAAGCCCCACACACUCUUUACAACUCUCUAUUUCUCAUCAAAAGUGAAAUACAGUUAUGGAGAGAUGGGGGAAGACUGGAACAUGAAGAUUAAAUGGGGAGGAAGUGAAACAGAGGGGUAAGGAAGGGGAAACUGAGAGAGACACCUAAUACUAAGGACCAUUCAAGGCUCAUAUGAGACCCUACUACAGUAGAAGCAUCUUAAAAUAUGUGAAAGAAUUCUAAAUGGAACUACCAAAUAGUUCAGGAGACAAAGCCUCAACUAGACCUCUCUCAUCACUGAGUGAAAUUCCCAGCGUCAGGAGUAUGUUACACCUAAUUGAGUUGUUGACCAACAGCAUUCCCUGACAAUCACCAAACAAAUCAGGCUAUUGCCAAGGCUAUUGGUUGUUCUCUACAAAUGGGUGGUAAGGUCCUAUCACUGUCUCAUUUUCCACAGAGAAGUCAAGCCGGUGCCUAAUUAGACUUCCCACUCCCACUGACUAGUGUUCAUAGUCCUGGAAAUAACUCUGCAUGCUACCAAAGAAAACCCCAACUUUAAACCCUGCAACUGACAGUGGUAACCUGCCUAAAGAACACACUGGUACAAUUGUUGCACAAAUGUGGGAGUAAGCAACCACUAUCUAAUUUGAUUUAAGGUCCACUACAUGAGGUGGAACCCAUGAAUAACAUUGCUCAGGUGGCCAAGAACCUGAGAUGGCAUAGACCAUAGGCCUAGGGAAAACCAAAUAUUCUUGUUCUGCUAAAGGAACAUAGUAAUAAUACAACUGACAAAAUUCUGCUAAAAUGACAGAUAAGUAUCUACCCAGCCAUCAUCAGCAAAGCUUCCUUUUGCAUUAGAUGGGAACUAAGACAGAGACUCACAACUGGACCAUGAGCAGAGAGUGAGAGCUUUAGAACAGUUAAUUCUAAAAGAGAUAUCAUCAUCAAAUUCAUCCCCUCAGGGCUCAGGAAGUUAUGCAGAAAAGGAGGCAGAAAGAUUGUAAGAUCCAGAGGGGAUUUGUCUCCAUACUCAAAAGGACUGAUGUACAUAUUAACUCACAGAGACCGUGGCAGCAUGCACAGGACCUGCACAGGUUCAAGUGAAACUUGGUCCCAGCCCUGAGAGGGGCACAUGGACAUAACAUUCCAUUCCUAAUCAAGGAGCUGUCUCCAACUGACAAUUGUGUUGCAAAGGUACAAUGAGUCUUUUCCAAUGGAGACCUGCUGGGUAUAUUAAAACACACUUAGUGUUAGGCCCUAUGUGUAGCUGCAAUAAAUGGCCAACAAAAAAUAAAGUCAAUGGUAUUUUUCUAAAA